UUUUUCCUUUUUACGAAGAAGAUGCCAUUUUAACAUGGAUUUUUACCACAAAGUGACUAGCUUGGUAAAAUACCAUCGACGUGCUUCACCAGAAAAUAAAACAUAUGCCUGGUCAAGGAAACAAUCGUCUGGAAUCCUUUCGGCAGCCAUUAAUUCCUUUACCUGGAAGACGAAGUCUGAGACCUCCAUCCCAUGAGAAUCUCCACUAAACUGGAUUCCCCAUCUAUCUAGGCGAAAAUGACGAAAUUUGUGCUCGCUUCUUCGAGACUUUUUCUCCUUAUCGGAAAGGCUAUCCAGAGAAGACGUUGAGGAUGAGCUUGAUGAGAGCAAACUGCUCAAAGAAUCUAACGAAGAGCUCUCUGAAUCCGAUGAUGAACUCUGAGGAAACCAAUAUUAAACAGAAUGUAGUCUACAAAUCAAUAGAAAUAAUAAUAAAAGAAAAAUAUAUGUCCCCCCCA
Long non-coding RNA from Toxorhynchites rutilus septentrionalis, 458 nucleotides. RefSeq lists it as uncharacterized. The transcript is spliced from 3 exons. NCBI's taxonomy places the organism in Eukaryota, Metazoa, Arthropoda, Insecta, Diptera, Culicidae. The record is from RefSeq and is a predicted model, not a curated record.